UUAAAGAUCUCUGAUUUUAUACAAGUUGUAACUAAAUUACACGAAUUCCCAGGCAUUGAAUUUUUUCCAGGAAUAACAGUAGAGAGAAAAUGUGUUUUUGAAGAGUGAAUAUGACGUAUCGUGGUGACAAUUUUGUACGUCAAGGUGAGGUGGUGGAGUCCUCUCUCACUUUUGGCCAUACCCUCACCUUGGGGUGAUGUAACCUCCCCGGGCUAUUUGUCUGCAAGUGCCAAGGCCUUGUUUUGUGCGGCUAGUUUCCUCCGCCAUGUAAGAUGAGGGCUCGUGCUUCGAGAACGGAGCUCGCUAUUGAGGCUGCCCCGCUCUUGGAUCCCACGUUGGUGGUCUUCAUGUCCUUGUCAUUGCAGGCUUUCUACUUUUAGC
Molecule: long non-coding RNA, 381 nt
Filed under: Erythranthe guttata (spotted monkey flower)
Lineage: Eukaryota; Viridiplantae; Streptophyta; Magnoliopsida; Lamiales; Phrymaceae
Description: long non-coding RNA (EGUT_LNC002861)
Source: RNAcentral